GAUAUUAAAGGGCUGCAGUAUAUUGACUGUACAAAGGUAGCAUAAUCAUUAGUCUUUUAAUUGAAGACUUGUAUGAAAGAUUUGAUGAAAUAUAAACUGUCUCUAUUAUAUUUAUAGAAAUUAAUUUUUUAGUUAAAAAGCUAAAAUUAAAUUAAAAGACGAGAAGACCCUAUAGAGUUUUAUAAUUAAUUUAAUUAUAAUUAAAUAUAUAAAUAUUUAUUAAAAUUAAAUUAAUUAUUAUAUUGGGGUGAUAGUAAAAUUAAAAUAACUUUUAUUAAAAAUAAAACAUUAAUAGGUGAAUAAAUGAUCCAUUAAUUAGUGAUUAAAAGAAAAAAUUACCUUAGGGAUAACAGCGUAAUAUUUUUUUUUAGUACAAAUAAAAAAAAAAGUUUGCGACCUCGAUGUUGGAUUAAGAUAAAAUUUAAAUGCAAAAGUUUAAAAUUUU
This 445-nucleotide ribosomal RNA is filed under the name Timelaea maculata. RNAcentral describes it as "partial 16S ribosomal RNA". The record is from RNAcentral. Lineage: Eukaryota; Metazoa; Arthropoda; Insecta; Lepidoptera; Nymphalidae.